GUCUACGGCCAUGCCACCCCGAACACACCCGAUCCCGUCUGAUCUCGGAAGCUAAGCAGGGUCGGGCCUGGUUAGUACUUGGAUGGGAGACCACCUAGGAAGACCAGGUGCUGUAGGCG
This 119-nucleotide ribosomal RNA is filed under the name Pteropus alecto (black flying fox). The record is from RNAcentral. Lineage: Eukaryota; Metazoa; Chordata; Mammalia; Chiroptera; Pteropodidae.